This 1023-nucleotide ribosomal RNA is filed under the name Triticum aestivum (bread wheat). RNAcentral's name for it is "partial small subunit ribosomal RNA". Lineage: Eukaryota; Viridiplantae; Streptophyta; Magnoliopsida; Poales; Poaceae. The record is from RNAcentral.
AUGAACUCCCUCGACCCGUCCCGCAUCUGGCUGGCGGCGCCGCGCAACCCGCCGUGGAUCUCCUCCUUGCGGGCCGCCAGGCGCCGCAGCUCCGAGGGGUCCCUGGACCAGCAGAGCACCUCGGAGACCGCGUGCUCGGCCUUCAUCCCCUCGACCCGCCGCAGCACGAACGCCGGGGGUGGGGACUUGCCCUCCUCCUCGGCCAGGGUCAGCCACGCCUGCCGCUCCAGCCGCGUGUCGUCCUCCACCACCACGCCCUCCCACUCGAAGAUGACGCCGACCCAGCCGCAGCCCAUGCGCUCGAGGCGCAGCAGCGGGUUGUGCAGGCUCGGGUCGUCCGCCCUGUUCCGCGGCGGCCAUGACGGUACCGCCGCUGGGGGGGCGUCGUCGUCGGUCCCUAAUCCGUUGUCGCCGUCCCCUGGGAUCCCCCGGAACUCCUUGCGCGGGACGGCCUCCUUGGUGAACCCCACCGCCGCGAGCGCCCUGACGGGCCAGUCCGCGAGCCGCUGCUGCGCAGGAAGCGACGGCUGCCUUCUGGCCACGAGGCGGCGGCCCGCGAAGGGCGUGGCCAGGGGCCGGCAGCUGACGACGUGGAGGAGGGUCCGGUGGGGCCGGUGGUGGUCGAAGGGGUGGCGCGCGAUGAAGGAGGUGCUGGCGCUGACCGUGUCCACCAUCAUCAUGGCUGCCGCUGCUUGUGGAUCCGCCCACCUACCAGUCGAUCAAAUCAACAAGAAGAAGAAUGACCAAACGACCAGAUCCCGGAGCCCGCCGGCCAAAUCCUUCCUGCGCCCAAAUUCCUCCGCUUUAUCGCUGAUUCCACGCUGCAAGAAGAAGAAAAGGAGAAGGAAGCCGGUCAGAAGCCAGAAACCCAAUCCGCGGGAGGAAGAAGACAGGAAAGGUAAAGAAGAAUCCAUGGCAGGAAGCCAACAAAACAGAGCAACGGCGGAACCAACCGCGGCAACGAAAACAGAGCACCUAAUCCUCCUCCUAAUCAACGAGAAGGAUAAACAAAGAAAGAAAUAA